UUCGGCGGCCAUAGCGAGAGGGAAACGCCCGGUCACAUUCCGAACCCGGAAGCUAAGACUUUCAGCGCCGAUGGUACUGCAGGGGGGACCCUGUGGGAGAGUAGGACACCGCCGGAC
Molecule: ribosomal RNA, 117 nt
Filed under: Clavibacter nebraskensis
Lineage: Bacteria; Bacillati; Actinomycetota; Actinomycetes; Micrococcales; Microbacteriaceae
Source: RNAcentral